GAAUAUCCAUUGUCUGAAACUCGAGACUCGCGAGAGGGAUUGCCAAGCUUUUUUCUAAUGGCGUUUAUGAGAGGAGAGCCAUUGGUGGCGAAGCUAGCAUUGCUGGCAAGAUAUGGAAUUCUUCCAGGGGCCAUGGCGGCUGCUUUGAUCUUCUCCCCGCCGCAGGACCCUAACAAGAAGAACGAUUCUGCUUCCAAAUAGAACUUCUUCUCUUUCAAAGAAAAAAUUCAACCAUCAUGAUGUGUGUGCUGAACAUGUGGAGGUCUACAAGAUUGCUGGGGCUUGCAAUAAUUCUUCUCCUUAAAUACAUUUUUUUGUUUAACCCAAAUGUUCAUGGAUAGAUUCCAGUAUAGUCUUUAAUACCUGGACUUGAAUUUUUCAUUGAAUAAAUGGAUAGUUUGUUCUGUUACUGCAUCAUGAACAAGUGCAAGAUGGUCUAGAUCUAACCCAUCAAGAAUUUGAGAUAGACAAGAAAUGUGAAUCUUGCUGCCAUUCA
Molecule: long non-coding RNA, 496 nt
Organism: Telopea speciosissima
Lineage: Eukaryota; Viridiplantae; Streptophyta; Magnoliopsida; Proteales; Proteaceae
Exons: 2
Source: RefSeq, a predicted model, not a curated record